This is a non-coding RNA of Podarcis lilfordi (Lilford's wall lizard), 18234 nucleotides long. NCBI's taxonomy places the organism in Eukaryota, Metazoa, Chordata, Lepidosauria, Squamata, Lacertidae. The record is from the annotation of a GenBank genome assembly.
ACCUCCUUGAGUGCUUUGGCGUGAAUUGCAGCAAUGCCUCUUGUUCUUCCAUUUGGAGGAUGAAGAUAUGCAAAUGUGAAGGCAUGUAGAAAACUUAUUUUUGCAUGGCAAGAAAGCAAACUACUGUACAAAAGUAAGAGUCACACCUGUUUCAGUUUUUGCCGCCUGCAGAAAUAAAUAUGGCCCUCCAGCCAUAGCUGUCAACCUUCCCUUUUUUUGCGGGAAAUUCCCUUAUUCCAGCGCUGCUUCCCAGUGCUAUCCCGGAUUGUUAGAUAUCCCGUAGACUGUCCCCGGGACAGGUGAGGCUGCAGAUCCGUUACUUUUGAGGCUGCUGACCCCUUAUUUUCAAAUCUGAAAGUUGACAGCUAGAAAGGUUCCCCAGCCCUGUAUUAGGAGGCCUGAGCAAACCAGUUUCCUUUCCUCCUCCCCCCCUUUAUUUUAAUUCUCUUUCAAUUUAAUUCCCUUUUAUUUUAAUGUCCCUUUCAGUUUUUCCUAUGUCACAUAAACACACAGGUUCUUGUCAGCCUGUGGCUUUAAAAAUAUUUUACAUUUUGCUUGCAAACAUAAUUUUGGCUCCCAUAAGAAUGUAGAAAACACUGCCUUAUUUUGAGGUGGCACAGUUUCACUUGACCACCUGAGUUUGCUAUUGGCAGGAACAAUGUGUAACGGGUGAGUUUUCUGCUAAAUGCCAAUUACUCACUCAUGCUUCACACAGGAGUUGGUAACAUAACCGGUUAUUAAAAAGGGAUAUAUGCAGCUGUCUGGCAGGGCUCCUAACACAGGCUUAUAACAUGGGUUCUUCUAGUUCAAGUGAUCAGAAGAGAAGAAAUGGAGUGUCAAUGCUGGUCUUAACUUAAGGAGAAAGUGCAAAGCUCAUUCGCUGUGCCAAAAUUCAAUACAGUGGUACCUCAGGUUACACACGCUUCAGGUUACAGACUCCGCUAACCCAAAAAUAAUACCUCGGGUUAAGAACUUUGCUUCAGGAUGAGAACAGAAAUCGUGCUCUGGCAGCGCGGCAGCAGCAGGAGGCCCCAUUAGCUAAAGUGGUGCUUCAGGUUAAGAACAGUUUCAGGUUAAGAACGGACCUCCGGAACGAAUUAAGUACUUAACCCGAGGUACCACUGUAUGUUUCCUGGGCAAGGAGGAAAAAAGGUCUAUUACAUUGACAACAAAGUUCCCUCUCAAAAUGGCACCAGAAUAGAUCAAAUCAUGUAGACUAGGGUUGCCAUAUUUCAAAAAGUGAAAAUUCACAAAAGUUUUUGAGCUUUUCUUUUGGGGCCGGGAGGGGGGGCAAAGUUAUUGAGCUUUGGAGGGUGGCCAUGACAAUUGUUUCAGGCCUCACACAUAUGGAAACAGGCACAUCAACACACACAGAUAAUACCCUCCAUAUAAUAACAAAAUAGCCUGGCCCAAAUCCAGUCAAAUCCCAUUGAAGUCAAUUAGUUCUGACUAAUUUAUGCCCCAUUAAUUUCAGUGGGACUUUUGCAUGUCUGCAUUGAAUUGGAGUACAGUGAGAUGGGUGGAAAGAGGGUGGUUGAUAUGUACUGGCUCUUUGUUUGACUCUUGUUGUGCCUAUCUACAACACAAAUGGAGGUACCAUAUGGAAUAUGCAGCCCCCCCCCCGUCGCAUGAGGGGCAUCGCAUUAAAUAGGCAGUGGGUUCUCAUUGGCCAGUGAUUCUUGUAACCACCUUGCCACCAUACGGUGGGGAACUUGUAUUGAUAUGUUAGUGCCUAAUAGUGAGUCAGGCUGUUGGUCUAUCUAGCUCAGUAUUGUCCACACAGCUCUACAAGUUUUCAGACUGCCCUACCAGAAGAUGCUAGAAGCAGAAUAUGGGAGUUUCUACAUCCAAAGCAAAUGCUCAAUCUCUGAGCUAUUGACCUUCCUCAAUGUCUGUAAUGACUCAGUAUUUUGAGUUAAUUAACUUCCAAUAUCCCCUUUAUCCAGCCUUGUGACUGGACUAAUUAUAAUUGUAUUAGAACUAAUGUCUUCCCUAUAACUUAGAGAUAGGGAAUAAGAUCUACCCUAGCGGGUCACAUUCUGGCAUGCACAACUCCAUAAGCGAUUUUGACAGGCAGGUGGGGUUGGAAGCAGCAGCAGGAAUAGAUCAGUUUGUGACUUAAGGGUUAGUUUUGUUAAUGUUAAAGCCAACCAGCCAAGAGGAAGACUGGUGGGGAUGUUGCUUAGCAACCAGUGGCAUGAACCUCACAUGGUCUGAUUGUCUAUGUAGGUUUGAGGGACUUUUCUUCUGUGCAUUAGUUGAAUGCCAUCCAGCUAUACACUAUACUGAGAAAUUCUGUAGUGCAGCUGAUCUCAGCAGAGUUGCUAUAAGUGCUGAGCAGCUGAUUUCUAAGUGACUACCCUAUGUUCUAAUGCAGGUGUAGGAGACCUUAGGCACUGCAGGUGUUGCUGCACUAAAACUCCCACCAUCCUUAGCCAAUGUCCAUGCUUAUUGGGGCUGAUGGAAGUUAUGGUUUAGCAACAUCUGGAUGGCCAAAGGUUCCAGUCAAAAUGUGGAGCCUGCUACCACAGUUAUUUGAUUGUUUGUUUUAUUGACUGCUUACAUGCCAAAAUCAUUUCUAAUCAUUUCAGAAACAUAAAAUCAAAUAUGAAAAUGUCCACACAUAAUUAAGACACACAAUAGAACAUUUCCUUCAAAACAUUAAACAUCCACAAUUAAAAUAUAAAACAAAUCCUUCAACAAUAGUAUGAUAGUUUGAUAAUUAAUAGUUGUAGCUUCCUAAUUUCUUGGGAAAGAAAAUGAAAUUAUUUAAUCAGUGUAUAUGUUGUUGGCUUUGAGUUAAGGAAUUUCACUGCAUAUAAUUUAUGAAUUAAUUGAAGGUAUUUGUUUUAUUAAUCAUGCUUGGAUUUGCCACGUUGAUGGAUAUCGUUUUCCUUCUUUCUCUUCAUAAGUAUAUAUAGCGUUGUAAAUAAAUAAAUAAGAAUAUAAAACAAGUCUGUUUCAAAACUACAACAAUGCCAUCCCCACAUGUGUUUAUUCUGCACAAAAUGUGAUAUUCAACUACACAUUACUGAGAAAAGACACUUUGAAAUUAGUGAACAUAGGUAAGUUAGGUUACUUGCAAUAUAGAACUUAGCUGCAUGCCACUGAAAGUGAGUGGGUUGCAGUCAACUAAGUUUUACUCAGAGUAAACCCAUUGAAAUUAUUGGACAGGAAAACGUCAUGAUCAUUAAUUCCAUUGGGUCUAUUAAGAGCAAAACUUAGUUGAACACAAUUCAGUGUUUAAAAGGUGCUUUGGAAUUACUAGACUUCCAGACAUUCUAUAUCUGAAGAAAAGAAAUAACUAUUGGGCUGGAUCCAGACUUUGUCAUAAUUUGAAUAGGUACGGCAAAAUCAAUAGGCUUAAUUCCCAUUGAUUUCACUAGGUCUACUCUGAGUAUGAUUAAAUCUAGAUUCACCCCCCCCUUUUAAAAACAAACGAAUAUGUUGUUAUGUGUUUAAUUAACAUACCUUGAUCAGCUUUAUAGAUCUCAGAUAGCAUGUGUUUUUUGGCUGGUCAGCUUUGAAAGGUAGUUUUAAUGGAAAGGAAGGUGUGCCAGCAGAGUCGCUAAAUUAAAUUUGGCAGGUGCUCCAUUCCAUCUAAAGAAGUUUGAUUCUUUAGGCAGCCUUAUGCUGUCUGUUGUUGAAAUUAAAUACUAAAUGUAAGCCAAUACUUGUUUAUUUUAUGUGAGAGAGGGCAAAGUAUUUCAUGGCACAGUGACAAUGUUUUCAGAGAUCUUUGCCAGAUCUCUGUAUAAACGUAAUUAAAUGAACUAAUUGGUUACCUGAAACUGUUCUUAGAAGAGCUGUACAUGCCUGAACAAACAAUUAUUGUGGCUUUCCUUACACAAGAAUGAUUCAGAAAAACAAUACUAAAAGAGGGAGAGAGAUGGGAAGACGCCAUCCAUCUUUAGAAAGCCCAGCUGUCCCAAGUUCUUCCUUCAACUCAUUAAAUAGAUGAUAGAUGAUAGAUAGAUAGAUAGAUAGAUAGAUAGAUAGAUAGAUGAUAGAUAGAUAGAUGAUAGAUAGAUGAUGAUAGAUAGAUAGAUGAUGAUAGAUAGAUAGAUAGAUAGAUAGAUAGAUGAUAGAUAGAUAUUGUCAAGGCUGCCUCAAGUCUCAGCUCACAAAAGACCAACGCCUAUGUCUUCUUAUAUACAAAAGUGUUUAUUGCAGUUCAUUGUUUGCUUGACAUCCUAGGCGCGCAGCCUUACGUCUAUUACGCUUAGACCGCUGAAGUCCCCUCUGAAUCCGUCCCUCCCCUGCACCAAUUUAAGAGGCUUGCGCUGCUCCACCUCUUUCUCUCCUUCCUUUUCCGCAGGGUCCUUCUGCCCGCUGGGGUUUCGCCCCUCCUGGAUUCCUCUGACGCGGAAUCAGACUGCUCUUCCCCCUCCUGCGGGCUUUGGGACCUGGCCCCUCCUCCGGGCUCCCUGUACUUCCGCGCGCCUCUACAUUUGAACUAGCGCGCGCGCCAAACCUCUAACUUUCCUUUUGACAGUUACACUACUCCCUUCACUGCUCCCCUCCCCUUCCGGGAGGGCGGCUUGCUCUGACCUCCCUCCUUUCUCUGCUGCCGGAGCUGCUUCCCCUGACACUCUGGUGGGGAGGCUGGUCCUGACGCCCAGCUGCCACUUUGGGAUCCUCCGCUGGCCCCCUGCUCCUGACACGUCCCCCUGGGGCUCCCUGGCCUUGACCACCGGCGCCCCUUCUGGGAAUCCUCUGAUUCGCUGGAAAGACUCAUGGAAUCUCUUGAGUCAUUGUCAUCCUCUUCCUCGCUGGCUUGGAAUUCAUCCCCAUCGCUCUCCAUCUCCUGCCUACCCUGUGCCUCUCUCCCUGAACCCCUGACAGAUAUGAUAUGAUAUUAUUAAGAAUUUUCAUAAUACAUCACAAUAAAAAAUGAACCAAUCUAAAGAAAAAUAAAAACAAAAAGGAAAGGAAUAAUGCAAAGUCCUCUAUCACAGGUAGAUGUUAACUCUUGUCCCACAUAAAAAUAUGUGAACCCUUCCAGCUUUCACCUGGGAGAUUGCUUUGCUUCUCCCAGCAUCUCACCCUGGGAGAUCUUCCCUUCCCUGCCUCUCACACAGAGUCCUUCACCAACAACGAUACCUAGCAUUCUCUGGGAAUUUGGUUCCGUGAGAGGAAUGGGGGUCUCCUAACAGUUUUCAGCAUAUUUAACAAAGCAUAGUUCCCAUGAUUCUUUGGGGAGCCCAUUACCAUUAAAGUGGUAUGAUAAUGCUUUAAACGUAUGGUGUGGAUGUGGCCUGUGAUUCCAUUUGGCCCUUUGUGUACAGAUUUUCACUGCCAAGAUCAGAUUCAUCAUUUGGCUCACCUUCUGUUUGAUGGGCUUUUCAUUUCACAUUUAUAAUUUGUUUUUGUUGUGGGCAUUUUUCUUUUAUUAAUAUGUUAUUAGUAUUUUAAUGUAUUUUUGUCUCACUUUUAUUUAAACGUAAGCUUGCCCAAACACCUUGUAAGAGGAAAGGUGGAUUCUUGCUUCUUAAAAGAACCGUCUACUAAAUAAAUAAUCAAUAAAUGAUGUUUGCAUCCUUCAUUUUCUAUCACGUAAACCAAGUUUCCCAAGAUGGGUGAAGUUAGAAGCCAGGAUUUUACUUUAUUUUCACAUCCCUUACCAUGAAAGUGGUCUUCAAAAUUCUCAUUUUAGAGGGGAAACCACUAUCAAAGGACAGCAGAGAUGGCAUUUCUGUUUGCACUUUUUAUGUUUGUGACUCACAGGGGACAGUCAACGAGUGCCUGAUUUUAGUGUCUACAUUCUGAGCAUUAGUCAACAUGGUACACUUUGUUUUAUAAGGCAGUAAAACCUCUCAAUUUUAAGAUGUCUGCUGUACUUUGUCCAUCGACUCUACUGAUUUUCACUCCUGAGAUUUUUAUUGUUCCAGCUGGCAUUUUAAUUGCAGACAAUUGCAGUGUCAAUUUUACAAAGACUUGCUAGAGAGAGAGAGAAAGUUAACCGACUGUAAUUGAUGAACAGCCUUUCCUCACACAUGUAUUUUAGGCUUAGUCGGCUGCUGUUUUACUCAGAAGGGAAGUGAAUGUUAGCCUUGACCUUGGUUUCAUAACUUGGACCAACUGUUCCUGUCCUCAUGUCCCAGAGCAUACACACUUGCUAGAAAGCCAGCUGGGGCAAGAUGAAUAAAGGGGAUCAUGACAAGUCUCAUAGGAUGGAAUCACUAGACCCUGGUCUGGUUUUAAACCUAACAAAAACUAAUUCCAUACUGGGACUUAGAAUUUUCUAGCAGAUGGUUUAAGCUGGGGAUAAAGAUGGCAGCAAUCCAUGAUCUUUUGUAUCCAAGCACAUGGUACUCAAGAGUAUUAUUGUUUCUAAACAAGAAAAUAUCAUUUGGUUACUAUCACUGAUCACUGCUGAUAAAUCUAUUGUUCACAACUGUAUCUCUAACUCCUGUUAAAACCAAAGGUUCAUUUUCAAAUGUGAUGCCAGAUGUGUAUGGAAAUGAAACUCACCAGUAGCCUAUGUACUGGACUACAACUCCCAUCAUACCUGAACACUGGUCAUUCUGGCUGGGAAUUAUGAGUUGCAGGCCAACAAUAUUUGGAGGGCACCAUAUUAGCUACCCUUGUUUUAGGCCAAAUGAGGGGAAAUUGUGGAUGUCUCCAGAUGUUGAAAGACUACAACUCUCAUUUCCCCCAAAUUAUUGGCUACAUGAUCACAUGUUCCUUACAUGGCCUUCAGUUUGAAAGCAACUAUGGUUAUCAUUCAGCUAGCUUUCAUAUUGAAAUCAAACCUUAGUUUGAAGAAGAUUUUGGUGUUCCUUCACAGGUAAACCAUUUGAAGACUUCUGGUGGAAUUUUCUGAAGAAUAACAACAUUUAGCAGGGCUUUGCACCUUCUUAAAUCUUUGGUUUGGCACCUAGAAACUUGUGUAUGUGUGGUAAUGUUCUGAGCAGGAAGCCUACUGUUGUUGGGGUAGCACUCAUGGUAUCACACUGGAAUGUGGUGUAAGAACAGAAGGAUUAGCAUCAUUCACUUUUGAGCCAGUGCUUAACUCUGGCAUCUUUCUCAGUUCAGUGCAACAAGUCUGAACCAUCAUUUGAUUCAGUUCACACUGAAAGGCAAACCUAUCUAAUUUGCAUUUCCCAAAACAAUGCACAGCCCAAAACACAACCAUCCUUCAAAAUUCACAAUGAUAGGCGCUGACUUCAAACUCUGCUAUUGGGAUUGGCCUGCACAGGAUUGUUAGUAGCACAGCCGAUUCCAGUUGGCUUACCCUCACCACCAAUCAGCUGAUUGGGGGUGACAGAAAAUCUUCCUUGCCAAUGCACAAUCAGAAGUGGAUGUUAAGCCUUCUGACUGCACACUGGCAACUGAGUAUCCACCUGCCCCUCACCUGAUUUCACAUGUGACUUCAGAUGAGGAAAAUGAUUUGGUGGGGAAAAAGCCACAUGAGCCAAAUUGGAACCCCCGCUGGGCCAAAUUAGACCCCUGGACCAGGGAUUUAAAGCAAAGUGUCUAGCUGAAUGAAGGUAGAAGCUUUCAGCACCCUUCAUUUUAAAUAUGACACACUCAGUCUAUUGUUGAACCAGCUGCAAAAUUGGGUCCACAACACAAAAGCAAAAAGCCACAGAUGUAAGUUGCUUCAGCCAGGCAGCUUCAGAAGGCAUCUUAAAGAUUGCCAAGUGUGGGGUGAAGGGAGGAGGAAAGCGAGAACCUGCCACCUUCUAUUAAUUUUCGUUGCAAUUCCAUCUGUGCAUGAAGUAGCCUAAUGAUCCAAGCAAUUGCAGUCACUUGUCAAGGAUCUUUUCACUUAUUUCCCCGCAAACAAACUUGCUGAUGAUAUUAGUGGGCAGCUGCCAGAAUUCAUCACGGCACUUAACGCAUCCUUGGCAAGAGCUGACAGAUGUGAAGACGCCGGGAUAUUCCACAGUUGGCACACAUGACAGCCCAGAGCACAAUUCACUUUUCAAAAGUCUAUUUAAGGCAGAAGUGCAAAAAGAGAGGAAGAGAUUGUACUAAUCUUCAGAAGGAAGUCUAUUGCCUAGGCUUGGAGAGAAACAGAGGGUGUAGUUUAGCAUUCUGGCACAUGAUUUGCAGUAAGUCUGUAAAAAUCUGAGGUUCACUUUCCAAUUCCAUCAGAAGAAAGACCUCAGGAAGCAGAGGUGGGAAAACCCAUCUCACUUGAUGUCUUGUAUAUGACAGUAGCAAUGUAUUAUUAUGUUAGAGGUUUUAUUACAAUCAAGCUGUAUAUAAAUUUUGUGAAGUAAAUAAAACAAAAUAAGGUUUUUAAUUAUCCCCAUUUUAUAUGAAGCUCAGGAUAGUGUCUCUAAUGUAUUUUGUCACCACAACUCUGGGAGGUAGGUUUGUCCAAGACUGACUGGCACAAGAUGAGUUUCAAAGAUGGCUAAGUGGGGCUUUGAAAUUGAGUCUCUUACAACCCAGUCAAAAGGGGUGAGUACAUUUUUUCAAUGCUGAAGAACAGGUCACCUUUACUUAUUUGAUUUGUACAUGGUGCCUCUCCCUGCUAUCUUCACAACAACCCUGUAAGGUAGGCUAGGCCAAGGUCUCUCAAACAACCUUUCUGGCUAAGUGGAUAUUUGGACCUCUGACCCCCUCCAAUUUAGUUCUGUACACUAACUAUCAUCCCAUACUGGCUCUACCUCCCCCUUCCCCAAGGCCCUGAAGCUUCAUGGGGAAACAGCAGAAGUGAUGUCAGUCCCAAACAGUGUUGUUUUUUCUCACCAGGGAUGGGACCAGGGCAACUGCUUCCUGAGGCGGGAAAUGUUCAUUUCUGCUGCGACAAAGAUCCUUAGAGAACCAUGGCAGGAAAAGUCUCUCAUCUGGGUCCUGAGAACAUCACACAACCUCAUUUCCAUCUACUACCUGAAGGUGAAUUUCUGAGCUUUGUGGCAAAGAAGGGGAAGAGCUGCAGUGAUGGAGGGCCCUUUGCACCCACCUUUUUUUUUUUUUUUUUUUUUUGCAAGCAUACAGAUUGAAUGAGCACAAAACUUUGGAUCUUUGCAAGCAUUCAGUUGAAGCUACUCUGAGAAUUUAAUUAAAGGGAAUUUCAUAGAAAAACCUUGAAUGAGUAUAUAUCAAUACUUUUUUUAAGGGUGAACAGCAGGAUUCUUGUAAAUUGUUCAAAACUGAUUUAGUUUUGUGCUAUAGUUCCAUUGCUUGUAUACCACAGAAACUUUGUAUUUCUAGAGAGGGUCAAUAGAGGAGGAGGAGAGUGUGGAGAGUCAGAUCUCCGUUUCUCUAGCUGUUGGGAGACUGGCACUACAGGGUCUCAUUCAGUAGUGGCCCCCAGGUGAGCAGGUCUUUGUCAUCCCAGUGGUACCUAGCCCUUUCAUCUGAAAGAACAGGGAGUCCUAACAAAAAGAAAGAACAAGUGUUCAGGAAAUUAAAUGGGAUCUUAAAAGACCUCUAUUAGGCUGAGAAGCGGGUUCACUCAGUACUGUUAGGUUGGAUCCACUAUGCAGUGUCAUAGCUAUGACUCCUAAUCUGGCUACUAUGGAGUCAUGUCUGCUGUCCAUGUUCCACCCACCCACCUCCCCACAUGCCUUCAUCUCUCUGCCUGCUACAGUUAAACACAUAGGAAGAGCCCUGUUGCAUCAGGCCAAGUGUUCAUUUGUCCAGCAACCUCUUCUCGCAGUGGCCAGCCAGAUGGUGUUUUGGAGCCUGGAAGGAGGAGCUGAGUGCAGCAGUUUCCCUCCUCUUUCUCUGUUGGGAGCUCCAUGCCAUUCUCUCUUCACUCACCCCUGUAGGACAUAUAGAUUGGGUUUAGAUCUCUCUCCCUGUUCACACCUACCCUCAGGAAUAUCUGUUCCUUCCACCAGCUAUGGAAUCUGGCACCAGCCUUGCCCUGUGUUUUUAACAGGGCAAGGCUAGCUGGUCACACCCACACAGCAUCACAUGGCACUGCCCAUCAGGUGAAAAGUUAUGGAGAGGCAUUGGAAACAAGCAAUUACUAAAAUCAGGUAAAAGAUUGCUUCUGGACCCUAAACUAUGUGUUCUAUUUUUAAUAAAGGGAAUGCAGCUCUUAUAUGUAAACAGUUGCAUAUCGUAUUGUAGCCAUUCAAUUAGUCAUUACUCAGGGCUGGAAAGGCACUUCAUGCUGUACCCUACAUAACUGGUUCAAUAAAGUCAUGGUCAUUGUUAUUUCAGAGAAUUUGGUAUGUAAUCAUAUGACUAGCACUGGCACGGAUCCUUCUGUUUGGGGUAUUUAUUAAAUGUGCAAUGCCUUCUUACUGUCUUUUAUUGUCUUUUUCAUUGUAUAAUGUAAGGCUGUUUUCAUAUCUCAUUUAUAAUUUUAUAAUUGUAUCCAUUUCAUUCACUUCUGUAUUCUUAUUUGUCUUUGGACUUUAUUAUCAAAAGCACUUUGUGUUGGACUUAUAUUAUUUUGUUCUUAUUGUUUGCUUUUAUCUUUGUAUGUUGUGGAUAGCAGUUGAAGACACAUCUUACUAACUUCUGAGCCACUUAGGAAGUGGUUGAGAUAGCUGCAAGGCCUUGUGGGGAGGGCAGUGUCCUAAACACUGUCCACUCAUUUUUACUUUUAUGUUUUGCAAUAUUUUCUCUGCCACAAGUAUUAUAAAGGUAAAGGGACCCCUGACCAUUAGGUCCAGUCGUGAACGACUUUGGGGUUGCGGCGCUCAUCUCGCUUUAUUUGCCGAGGGAGCCGGCGUACAGCUUCCGGGUCAUGUGGCCGGCAUGACUAAGCCGCUUCUGGCGAACCAGAGCAGUGCACAGAAACGCCGUUUACCUUCCCGCCAGAGUGGUACCUAUUUAUCUACUUGCACUUUGACGUGCUUUCGAACUGCUAGGUUGGCAGGAGCAGGGACUGAGCAACGGGAGCUCACCCCGUCGCGGGGAUUCGAACCGCCGACCUUCUGAUCGGCAAGUCCUAGGCUCUGUGGUUUAACCCACAGCGCCACCCACGUCCCUUGCCACAAGUAUUAUAGGAACCUAGGAAGUGGGCUUGCACUGACCAGUGAUCCAUCUAGCUCAGGAUUAUCUGCACUGAUUGGGAGUGGCUCUCCAGAUUUCCAUGACAUGGUCUUUCCGAGCCCUAUCUAGAGAUGCCAUGUAUUGAACUGGAACUCUCUGCACGCAAAGCAGAUCCUCUACCACUGAGCCAUGGUCUUUUGCAUUAAACACUAUAGCACUACAAAACUGUAAGAGUAUACCAGUAAUCUACUCAUACAUAAGCUCAAUAACAUUCAAAAGGACUUACAAUGGAACCUCGGGUUGCGAAUGUGAUCCGUAUGGGAGGCAUGUUCGCAAACCGCAGCAUUUGCAACCCACAGCGCCGCAUCUGCGCACACGUGGGUUGUGGUUCGGUGCUUCUGCACAUGCGCAAAGUGCAAUUUAGCGCUUCUGUGCAUGCGCGAGUGCCGAAGCCCGGAAGUAACCUGUUCUGGUACUUCCAGGUUCGGCACAGUACGCAACCUGGAAAUGCGUAAUCUGAAGCGUCUGUAACCCGAGGUACCACUGUACUUCCAGGGAAGUCUGUACAGUACUGCAAUGCUAGGCUGCAGUCCUAAGCCUACUUACUAAGGAGUAAACUCCAGGGAACACAGUAGGUGUUACUUCUGAGCAAACCUGCAAAUGAUUGCACCAUAAGUCUCAUUAGUAUACUGCUGCAGCAGCUUCCUGUGUGAAUUAUGUAAGUUUUCCACUAUGCUUUAUUAGACGUAGUUUAUUUCCUUUUCAACUUAAUAAAAAGCAAUUGCAUGAUUUAAAGCACAUACGCACACCAGAUUGCCUGUUAUUGGAGAAAGAUGGAUUAAUUUGUUCAUUUGUCUAGUCAUUUGUUUUCAUAUAAAGCAAAAUGACAGGACAACAGCUGGAGAUUAUUAUUAUUUUUAAUAGCCUUCAGGCUUUUCUUUAUUGAAUAUUUCCAAGUGUAAAUCAAUCUAACUAUUUUAAUAAUUCCAAGAUUCCAAAAUAUGUAAACUUAAAAAUCUACUCCGUUAAUUUGUGCAGAUUUGCACGUCAAGCAGCACAAAAGGAACCCUUGAUAUAACCGAGGACUUUAUAGGCUUCCAUUUGGCACUUCUUAAAAGCUAAAUACAGUGUUUUCAGCUUUAGAUAUCUCUUCCCUUCUAUUGCACUCUCCAGCACUAGCUGGAUACAAUGGAAGUGGCAAAGAGGAUUUAAUUUUAUUACCCAAAAUAUUUCAUCCUCUCUUCCCUAAGUUUAUAUUACAGUAAUGCAUUUUGUUAUUUACAUGCUGCUGCAAAGACAGACAGCCAAAUAAGAACUGGAGUCAGAGAGACAUUUAGAAUACAAAUAAAAAUUCUUCAAACCUCCCUCCCGCCCCAGCAUGAUGGCAAAGAAAAGCCAGCAAGAUGUUGAAGCCGAGUUUCAUCCUUCCUUCCUUAAAUUAUUUAUGGCCAAACUGAAGAAGUAUGAAAUGCAGGGUGGGGGGAAAAAAAUCAAGGAGUAGUUACUGUUGAGAGUUAUGCUGUAUGGAGACUGGGAAGGAAAUCAAUGGAGUUUACUUUUUAAAGCAAUCAUACCAAAUUCACAAUUUCCGAAACAAUAUGCAAAUUGAAAUACAGCCGCUCUUUGAAAUUCACGCUUUUCUGAAUUUUGCAAGGCAGUUCUCCAGCUAAGUAAUGAGUACAAAAGCACACCUACUAGGAUAAAGUAUGCAUAAAUAGGCAUAUGCAGUCAAUCCCCCCCCCCAAAAAAAAUGCAUGGUGGUUACAUCCUACGCCCCUGUGUGUGUAAGUCAAAAUUGUGUAAGUGGGGAGCACCCUCUAAACACCCUUUAAAUGCCUUCUCCUGCUCUCUCUCUAAUCCAGACCAAAAAUAUGGUAUCCAAAAAUAUCCACAACUAGAAUUGAAACUCUGGGGCUGGAAGGAGACUGGAGGAUGCAUAGGAAAGUGGCAUCUGUUGAUGUGCCACUGUAUGUCUCAGCUGUUGUUAAAGUCUGGCUGUGCCUCCUGUAUCUUUGGGGCUUCCUCCACCCUCACCAAAGUUCUCUUUGGGCUCAGGGGAGGGUCUCAUUUUGAGGCACAAGGACUCUUCAGCUCUCUCCUGCCAUUUCCAGGUUUGAAUCAAAUUAUUUGUUUAUUUCCCGGUGCGGCGCAUGUACACGGUCAUGCAAUAUAAAAUGGGGAGUGCAAUAUAUAAUGGUCUACAAAACUGUGCAUAUUAGUCAAAAUUGGAUAUUAAAAGGUUCCUCUUAAAGUUCUUUCUUUAAAUAAAAAAAUGCAAAUUGCUGAAUUUAAGAUUGAAAAAAAUGAGAAAUUGGGAGAACAGAAACCAAGAAACCUAGUGGCAGAGGAAAGGAGUGUUCUUUAGCGGCACGCUCAGUCUGACCAGACACAAAAGAGCCCCGCUAAAAAUAUGAUGCAGUGCCAGUGUCUGCCACAUUCUCUUUUAUUAUAAGCCUCCCGCUGCCGCCACCCCACUGCAGCGCGAUUUCUGUACUCAUCCUGAGGCAAAGUUCUUAACCUGAAGCACUAUUUCUGGGUUAGCGGUGUCUGUAACCUGAAGCGUAUGUAACCCGUGUUACCACUGUACUUCGCUUUUUUGGCCUUCUGACAGAGCCUUCUUGUUAUUAGUUCCCCAGUAAUGGAAUGCCUUCCUUGGUGAGGUGCAAUCGAUUGCUAACUUUCAGCAAGAAUUGUAAAACAUUCCUGUUCACCCAGGCAUUUGAUAGCUGAAAGAAACUGUUUUCUUCCAACUUUGAAAUGAUUAGCUAAGAGGAUAUGUAACUGUUUAAAACAGUUUUAGAGCAGAGGUGGCCUCUCAACACAAGAGCCAUAUUCUAUUCUGGGCAACCUUCUGAAGAUCAUUUUCAGAUGUUGAGUGGAGCCAUGAGCAAAGUGGGCCCAUGAGCUCCAAAAGACUGGGGGAACCUGAUUUAAAAGAACCAUCAGAACUAACAUUGUCUAGAACUCUCCCUAGAUACUUGCAUAUCUUUUUUCUUUGAAAGUCUAAGUAUUUAGAUAUAGCUCCAUGUCAACUUGCAAGAAGCAAGCUAUUGCAGGAGAGAACAAAGCAAAUAGACUACAGUGGAGAAUAGGCUACAGGAAGGGUUCUCGUGAACUAGGGCUGAAUAUUUCACAUUGGAAUUCUCAUAAAAAAUGCCGAAUAAGUAUAAAAGUCAAGCAAGAGUCUUACGACACAAAGAGCAGUACUCAAUUCACAAAGUAAAUGGUUUUGUUUUUUUGUUUAAUGGAAAAGCUUGAAUUUUCCUUGCCACAGGCAAAAUAAGUGCUUGAAGACGCUCCAUGGCCUGUAGCCAUUCAUUCACAACGUCCUAGGUGAAGUACUUUAUUGUGAUGUAUCUUGUCAGGUUGUUUCAUUCACAUCAUACAGUGUUACAUCAUCUAAUGUGAUUUGACAGAUGCAGCUUGACAUAACAUGACAUGAAACAUGUCACAGAAUAAAUUUAAAAAGCAGUUGCUGGAAGGUAAAAUCUCAUAGGUUUUUUUGUGCAAGGAAAAAGAAUUUCACAUGUAUGUUAGAAUGGAUUGUUCAGAUUGCAUGCACACACAAAAUUAUCAGGUGCACGCAGACAACAAAUUAAAGAGACACUGUUACUCUGGAUAAAUUCUUAUUUGAAAUAGAGGGGCUAGCUCAGUCAUCUGAACCGGCAGGCCAUUUUCUCCAUGGUAUUGCAUGGAGAAACCAUGCAGAAUUUUGGAAAGGGAGGGAAUAUGCAGGAGAAAUGCUACUCACAGUAAGUUUGAGAAUCAUGGGUCUUGGAUAUUCAUAAUUUAUCACUGACCCUCUGCAUGUUUAGGUCCAAGUUGGAUUUACUCAAAUAAGUGUACAUGGGGCAACUAUUUAAACUGGAAAAGAGCCAUGCAUUUGUUAAAGAUUUAUUGGAGAAUUUUUUUAAUAAUAACUAAGAGAAGGUCACUCACAAAGGACAAUCUCCCCACUUCUCUCGCACAAACACAUUAAUUUUUUAAGUAGCUGUCUAAAAAUGCUCAGCCGCAUUGCUUCAGAAGUGGAACACUCAUAGCACCUAGCUCUCCAAGAGAAAUGGACUCAUCAGACUUGGCUCUCUAGAGCCUUGGUCAAACAGCAUGCCUUGCUGUUUGGUUUCCUUAUGCAUCAUAUAUUAAUCUUGACGUCUUUCUAGCACACACAUCAGGCCAUCAAUCUCCUUGGAAAGACACAUUUGACUAAAUACAUUUUCUGUCCUUAUAGUUUCAACUUAUAUGAUGACCUUCAUUUCCUUCGAUCAUGCUGUAUAUUUUUUCUGUCACAACGGGACAUGAUCUCUUUGUUAAUUUAUGUUGAUCUGCUGUUUUCUUCUGCAUACAUUUUAUCUUCAUAUCCUGUUGGAAAAGUCAGUAAAAAAUAACCCCCACCCUCAGGCCAGCUGCUUCAGAACAGUGGUCCAACUUAUUAUAUAUCCAAAACAAAUAGGGAAUCUUUACUAGUUAUUGAGAUGCAAUCCUAAAUCUGAUUAACUCUUCUGGAAAUUAGAGUUUAUUGAGUUUUGUGAAAAAUCCAACAUGUGUCCGGAUUCUGAUUCAUAAUAUCCUGAAAAAUCUCCAGAAACAGGAAGUAGGUCAUGUGAAGUGCCAUCUGGAUACAUGUUGGAAUAUUGACAAGGCGACCAGUUUAGGAAGCCAAAAUACACUGGGAAAUAUCAUGCUAUUUAUUUGCAAUAAGUGUUAAUGAAUCUAGGGAGAUGAGAUUCUAAUUCUAUACACACUUACCUACAAGUAAGCUGUAUUGAAUUCACUGGGACUUACAUUGACACAUGCUGAAAUUGUAUUUGGGCUUUAUCCAAUGUUAGACCUACUCAGAGUAGACACAAUGAAAAUAAUGGGCAUCAGUAACUUAGACCCAUUAAUUUCAAUGACCCUACACUGAGAAUAACUUAUUUGAAUACAACCCUUUGUUUACCAUGGCUUUUCCUGGCUACUGAUGGCUACCUUCAUAAUAUUUUCAGGAUUUUUUUAAUUAGGAAUUUUACUGCAUUUUAAUGAUUUCCAUUUGUGUUAUAUUUUCUGAUAUUAGUGAAUGCCAAAAUGAGAUGUCUGUAUAACAAAUGGCAUAUACAUAUUUUAAUAAAACAGCACAAAAAUAAAUCUCGGUAGAUACAUAUAAGAUUGUGCUCCAAAGUGCCUCAGCUAUUUUAGACAUUCCAAAGAAAGUGAAAAAGUUUUACAACAUGUUUCCAAAGACAGCAUUCCAAACUGUGCUUUGACAUUCAGUUUUUGACAUUGUCUGUAUUUUAACCCACACAAGUUUUUAGAAAGUAUCAUUCAGUGCUGAAUUUUGAAAUGCAUUCUUUUCUGUUCUUUGCCAAUUAUUUUGUCAGUCAUUAUGUUCAGAGCUGCACAUUAAUUUGGGAUGCAAAUUGGAAUUUUUUUGCAAACACACAGCCCAUUUGGCAGUAAACUGCCCAUAUUCAGUUGAUCUGGAGGUCCCAAGACCUUUGGAAAUUGAAAGUGAAAUAAAAUAAUCCAUGGUAUGCCAUUGUCUUAGAGCAGAGGGAGCCAAUGUGAUCCCCACCAGAUGUUCUUAGACAAUAAUUCCCGUCAGCCCAAGCUAACAUGGUCACUGUUAAGGAAUGAGUAGAAGUGGAGUCCAAGAACAUUGGGGGGGGGGAGGGUGUCACAUAGACUACGUGAGUUGGGUUUUCAGUGGUGACCCUGGAGUCUUCCGAAAACCUUGCUGUUAAAGAGCUGUCUUUGUCAAAUAUCACAUUGCCUUUCUCUGGAUCUGUCUUAUGAUGUCUAAUGGCAUUGUAGCCAUGAUCUCUGCUCCAUGUGAGUUCUCUGUUGCUACAUAUUUUAUGCUUAUUUUAGGUUGGGGGUAGGGACGUGGGUGGCGCUGAGUCUAAACCACUGAGCCUAGGGCUUGCCAAUCGGAAGGUCGGCAGUUCGAAUCCCUGCAACGGGGUGAGCUCCUGUUGCUCGGACCCAGCUCCUGCCAACCUAGCAGUUCGAAAGCACGUCAAAGUGCAAGUAGAUAAAUAGGUACCACUCCGGCAGGAAGGUAAACGGCGUUUCCGUGCGCUGCUCUGGUUUCGCCAGAAGCGGCUUAGUCACGCUGGCCACAUGACCCGGAAAAACUGUCUGCAGACAAACAUCAGCUCCCUCGGCCAGUAAAGUGAGAUGAGCGCUGCAACCCCAGAGUCGUCUGUGACUGGACGUAACUGUCAGGGGUCCCUUUACCCUUACCUUUUAGGCUGGGGGUGGGGUGGGGUAGUGAGCUUGAGUUUUUGCUUUUGUGAUUUAUUUUAUUUUAAUGUUUUAAUUGCAAACUGCCCAGAUAAUUUGGUUGGAUAGGUGGCAUAAACUGAUGCUGUUGAUAUUGACAGAAUAAUAAUAACAGUAAUAGGAGUAGUAACAAUAACAGUAAUUCAAAGAAGCCUGUUCAUAAAUUGGCAUUGCUGUUCCAUAGUGAUCAGUUCAUACCACUGCAAUUCAUACCCUUGACAUUUACAUUUAUUGAGGGAGUCAUCACCAAGGACACAUCACCUACAGUGCCUUCCUCAAGAAAACCCCAGUAAUUGCAGCCUAGGACUGAGUCCGCAGUCUUGAUUUGAUCAUUAAGAAAAAAAUGCAGACAAUCUCACAGAAGCAAGAGGAGGGAGAGAGAAAAAGCAUUAGCCUAGCUGAAUUUUCUACACUGACUAAGCAGCUUUAUCAUUUCAAGGACAGAGAGGGAAAAAAGGACUUCAACUCUCCCUAAAUGUAAAUUACUGACACAAUUGCAGCUACUUAUGCCAACAUAAAGUGGAAUUUAACAGGGCCCUCUGGAGUUUUAAAUCCUCUGAACGGUGAAUGUAAUGGGCAGUAGGCACUUUCUUUCAGGCAAGUUGUCAGGAUUAAAAUGAGAAAUUUGCAGGUAGGGAAAUGGUCACCUUAGUGAGCUCAUGAAAAAUAAAAAUUAAUGAUGAGUUUCUUGUUUAUAUCCGGUUCACAGAUUAUCAAUAAAAAAAAUUGGAUCAGAAACCCUGCUUUCCACCUCCCUUAUCAUUGCCUAGAGAGCCUGUUUGUAACGUGGCAAACUCUGGGAAAGAUUGUUUUUGACUGGAAGCAAUAACCAGUUUUCAAGUUGAAGAAAAGUUCAGGCAUUGUUUGGUUGUCUUGUGUAUGGUACCUGUAUAUUUAAAGCGGGUGCUCUAUUCCUUGCAUUUUCUAAAGCAAUAACAGCUUUUUUUAUACUUAAAGGUAAAGGGACCCCUGACCGUUAAGUCCAGUCGUGGACGACUCCGGGGUUGCGGCGCUCAUCAAUUUCACCCAAUUUCAAUCAGGGAUAGUAAAGAUUUUGCUCCAGGG